RNAcentral lists this ribosomal RNA (1145 nucleotides) under Escherichia coli. Its description in RNAcentral is "partial 23S ribosomal RNA". It matches the Rfam family "Bacterial large subunit ribosomal RNA", at positions 1 to 1188 of the family's 2925-position model. The record is from RNAcentral. Lineage: Bacteria; Pseudomonadati; Pseudomonadota; Gammaproteobacteria; Enterobacterales; Enterobacteriaceae.
GGUUAAGCGACUAAGCGUACACGGUGGAUGCCCUGGCAGUCAGAGGCGAUGAAGGACGUGCUAAUCUGCGAUAAGCGUCGGUGAGGUGAUAUGAACCGUUAUAACCGGCGAUUUCCGAAUGGGGAAACCCAGUGUGAUUCGUCACACUAUCAUUAACUGAAUCCAUAGGUUAAUGAGGCGAACCGGGGGAACUGAAACAUCUAAGUACCCCGAGGAAAAGAAAUCAACCGAGAUUCCCCCAGUAGCGGCGAGCGAACGGGGAGGAGCCCAGAGCCUGAAUCAGUGUGUGUGUUAGUGGAAGCGUCUGGAAAGGCGUGCGAUACAGGGUGACAGCCCCGUACACAAAAAUGCACAUAUUGUGAGCUCGAUGAGUAGGGCGGGACACGUGGUAUCCUGUCUGAAUAUGGGGGGACCAUCCUCCAAGGCUAAAUACUCCUGACUGACCGAUAGUGAACCAGUACCGUGAGGGAAAGGCGAAAAGAACCCCGGCGAGGGGAGUGAAAAAGAACCUGAAACCGUGUACGUACAAGCAGUGGGAGCCUCUUAAUGGGGUGACUGCGUACCUUUUGUAUAAUGGGUCAGCGACUUAUAUUCUGUAGCAAGGUUAACCGAAUAGGGGAGCCGAAGGGAAACCGAGUCUUAACUGGGCGUUAAGUUGCAGGGUAUAGACCCGAAACCCGGUGAUCUAGCCAUGGGCAGGUUGAAGGUUGGGUAACACUAACUGGAGGACCGAACCGACUAAUGUUGAAAAAUUAGCGGAUGACUUGUGGCUGGGGGUGAAAGGCCAAUCAAACCGGGAGAUAGCUGGUUCUCCCCGAAAGCUAUUUAGGUAGCGCCUCGUGAAUUCAUCUCCGGGGGUAGAGCACUGUUUCGGCAAGGGGGUCAUCCCGACUUACCAACCCGAUGCAAACUGCGAAUACCGGAGAAUGUUAUCACGGGAGACACACGGCGGGUGCUAACGUCCGUCGUGAAGAGGGAAACAACCCAGACCGCCAGCUAAGGUCCCAAAGUCAUGGUUAAGUGGGAAACGAUGUGGGAAGGCCCAGACAGCCAGGAUGUUGGCUUAGAAGCAGCCAUCAUUUAAAGAAAGCGUAAUAGCUCACUGGUCGAGUCGGCCUGCGCGGAAGAUGUAACGGGGCUAAACC